RNAcentral lists this ribosomal RNA (450 nucleotides) under uncultured prokaryote. RNAcentral describes it as "bacterial SSU rRNA". It matches the Rfam family "Bacterial small subunit ribosomal RNA", at positions 355 to 796 of the family's 1533-position model. The record is from RNAcentral.
UCGGGAAUUUUGGGCAAUGGGGGAAACCCUGACCCAGCAACGCCGCGUGAGGGAUGAAGGCCUUCGGGUCGUAAACCUCUGUCGGGAGGGAAGAACGGCCUCCGGUCCAACAAGCCGGGGGUGUGACGGUACCUCCAAAGGAAGCACCGGCUAACUCCGUGCCAGCAGCCGCGGUAAUACGGAGGGUGCAAGCGUUGUUCGGAAUUACUGGGCGUAAAGCGCGUGUAGGCGGCUUGGCAAGUCGGAUGUGAAAGCCCGGGGCUCAACCCCGGAACUGCAUUCGAAACUGCCUCGCUCGAGUCCCGGAGAGGGUGGUGGAAUUCCCAGUGUAGAGGUGAAAUUCGUAGAUAUUGGGAGGAACAUCAGUGGCGAAGGCGGCCACCUGGACGGUGACUGACGCUGAGACGCGAAAGCGUGGGGAGCAAACAGGAUUAGAUACCCCCGUAGUCC